GACCUAGGGUCCCCACCAUUUCCUACUUGGUAGUCCCUCCGUCUUUCCUUGCAACUGAUGUUGUCUCGCGUGGCGAAAUAAAAUCUUUCUCGUUCGUCAAUUUCCAUUUCUACUUCGAAUUGGUGACGAUAUUCGUCCUAAACUUGGCAUUUAAAGAUUUAACGAACGUUCAUGAUACAUAAUCCUCUUUCAAGCUCGCCAUAUGCGACGCGGAAUAUGCCCAGAAUCAACGAUUAAACAGCAAUAACGCUCGCUUUUAUGUUCAUUGACUCGUUUCUAGGUAUUUCGCGCACCAGGAGAAGAUGACUUUUGCUACGAAUUCGAUAAAUCGAUUCGAUUAUUUUCCUCUCACCAACUUCACGUUGUGCAACAUCGCCGCGUGAUAAUGCGCAUACACGCUUCUCAAGGAUCUUGAUCGAGGAUAAAAAAGAUGGAUUGGGGAUAAAGGAAAAAAAUACGCGUCUGUUCCUACCAAGGAUCUCGUUGGAUGAGGAUGACGGAACGGAAUCUUCAACGGUUCGAUGACCCUGCUCGGAUAUUGAAUUUCCUCUUGCGGUAUAUAAAAAUACGGAUGAAAAGUGGCGUUAAAAGGAACUACCGGUUUGAGAGAGCUUUUUCGGUUAUAUAAAAUUUUUAUAGUACUGAUAGCAUCGAUAGCGAGUGAAAGUCAAUUACGCUUAUGUAACAAUUCUUUCUUUUUUUACUAUAAAAAAAUGUUCUCAAAGUUAUUAAUUUUAGAUCCUGUAGGAAACGUUCGUGUUACAUUAAAAUGUAAAAUUUCAAUGCGGAGUUAUUUUCGUUUAGAGCUUACUCGUUAUAAAGUGCAGUAUUGAGUAGGUUGCGCGCGGUAAAAAUGUGCAAUGUAACAGAAGAGACAGAAUCAGUUCUAAAGUAGCGUUAAUUUAGUGCUGGAAAAAUAAUCUACAUCGUAGACAGGAAGUAUUUCACCAGAAUUCUUACAAUGAAUUUUCCAAUUCAUUUUCAAUUAAAUUCCAUUUGAAAACUAGAUGUCACCGCCAGCGAAGAAUUGCGCGUAUCAAAUUGCAACACGACGUUCGAUCCACCGACAAUUUGUUAAAAAUUCAUAUACCUAAAGAGCCAUCAACCUUCCCAUAAAAUAACAAACAGAGUAAAAAGAAAUGAUCAAUUCUGAAUAAACAUGCAAUAUAUUGAAUUAUAUAGAUAUAAUAGCGUUUAAAGGUCUUUAACACGCUAGCUAUAAAAACAGGACAAAGAACAAAUAGGAAGCGUGACAAAUAGGGAUAUAACACGUAUUUUCAAUACCGAGAACUCGGAACGAAGUUUGAUAGGACGGGAUCUACGUGGAACCGGUUCAUCCGCUUCUUUCGUUUCGAUGUAGUUCUAAACGUGACCCUCUCUCGGUAACAGGAACCUCAAGGUUAACGGCUGGUUGUCGUAAUAAUGCACGGAUGAAGUGACCGAUCGUUUGGAAAUAUUAAAAAUUCCAUUGCCGUUCUACGAUCGUGUAAUUAUUAUUUCGCUACAGAUAUCGAACAGCGAUAGGUGUCGAACGAAUCCUGCUUUCCAUUCCUGCAAACGUGAUUUAUCGAAGUGGGUCGCAGAGUAGAUUCGAUAUAGUGACCCAAGUCCUGCUUUUGUGUAAUUGAGUUUAGUAUAGAUUAGCGGAUGCAAUAAACCUUAACGAUCAAAGACAGCUUACGCCUAUCUUUCGAUAUUUUAAUAUCGUGACAAACAAUUUCUAGAAAAAUGGCUAGAUCAAUAUGUACAUGUUUUUCUUCUGAUGUUAAACAAAUAUUUAUUUUAUAUUCGGAAAGGGAUAGCUUUCUCGUAAUACAAAAUAUAUAUUCCCUGUAUAUUCGUAAAAGAUGAUAGUUUCCUAAUGUGGAAUAUAAUACUGCGUGUAUAUUUAUACAUUAAAAGAAGAAUUGAAUCCCUUUCUAACGUCGUAUGAAUAUGUGUUCGAUAUUUCGCGCCAGCAGGGUAGCUGCAAAGUUAAACUUAUUUUUAUCUUAAUAACGAGGAGCGUCUCCUGUUCUCCAGCGGAACGUUUCCUUAUUUCACUAUCGAAACGCAGAAGGUAGAACGAAUACUUGGGAUUUUUCGCGAAGCAACGAAUCAGUUCGAGGACCUUACGUGCCUUCAAGUCGACCGAAACACGCGAUGUCGGAAUUACGGUGGGCAGGCCCGACGUUAGUUCAAGUAAAGAUCGAUAAAACUGCUGUGCUAAGUAUUCGCGAUACUAACAGCUUGCCGUCCAAGUCAAAGUGGCAAGUGAACUUUCUCAACGGUCUGAAGUUACGCUUUAUAAGUUUCGCUUUGGCCGGUAUCGAUGCUGCGACCAUCUUUUAAUAAAUUGCUCGUCGAGCGAAUUUCGCUCAACCAGGCUUCGGACAAUUCAGCUAACGUGAAAGCGGAAUGAAAAAGAAAGACAAAAAGAUAAAAGAUGAAAGUGGAAUUCGAGGUGUAAUUUGCGCCGAUGAGUACGCUUUCUAAGCGAGGAGAUCGUUUGACGUAUUAGCUAUUGAAUCGAAAACGCGGGAAUUCGGGCGGCUAGAGAAUUAUGGUCUUAUUAAGAAAAAUGGAACUUUUUUUAGAAACGUGAAAUUAAUUCUACCUCGUUAGAAAAUCGAGAAUAUUCUCGCAUCUAGCGAAUCGGCUGCGAUGAAAAUUUUGCCAUUUAUUAAACGUUGUAAAAAAGUACUAAAAUACUUUGGAUAUUUUUCUACGAUAUAUUAUUCUACAAUAUUUAUAUUAUUGUGUGCGUUGUAUUAUGCGCUGUGUAUUUCUGUCACUUUAAAUUGCUCACAAAUGCACGAAAAUCCGCUGCUUAGUGAUGAAAGUAUGAAUGCUGGUUGCAGAAAUUCUCUUCGAUAACAUUUGAUGCGAGGAAAUUAGUUCGAUUAUUAUUCCUACAUAUUUAAAUGUCAGGUAAAGUUUUUUAAACUUCUCCUAUGAAAUGUAAUGUAUAUGUACGUUUUUUAGAUGAAUAAUAUGCAGUAAUUUAUGCAUUAUACGCGCCAGAUGGCACGUUGCAUGGGCAAGCAAUAACAGCAAUAUUAUAUUAGCACGACAGAGGAACGGCUAUUGAAUGUGCAAGGGAAAAGCGGACAAAAAGUGAGAUAUUAAAUGGGACGAGUGCUAUACACUUAAACUCGUUGUCGGCAGAACGUUUUGCCUUUAAUUAAUUUGCAGUGUGAUUGAAGACGGUAUCGUGGCUUUGAUUUUCUCUCGUUUUCAUAUUCGAAGGGCAAAUUUUUCUACGCUAUUCAUAAAUCAUUAAUAUUUUGAGAGAAAAUAAAGUAAAGUAUGUUGACGAAUUUUUUUCGAUAAGCGUUUAAUAUCGCGUUAAAUACAGGAAAUAAACUUAAGACCUUAUCGAUGAUCAUAAUAUGAGUGAAGUAUGUAUAUCGCGUAAGUAUGUAUUCUAUGCUGGAUCAGAUUUUAUUCUAGAACAUUGAAUCUCUCAAGAAUGAGAAUACUUUCAAUGUUUGGUUAUUACCAUUGAAAGUCCUUGAUAAGUUUGAUAAACGAAAAUAUUUUGUUUAACACUAUGUUGUACUAUAUAUAGAAGCAGUUAAUCGAGUGGCUGUCUCUAACUAAGAAAUAUAAAAAGAUAUAUUUUAUAUAUUCUCGAAAACCGCGUUGCUACUUCAGCUAUUUGGAAUUUUUGUUUUACGGUCUACGGAUCACAGACAUAUUUGCGCAUCCACGUGAAACCGAAUCUGAAUUCUACUCUUUGACUUAGAAACGCGAAGUCGAGAGAAUAUCACGAGUUCACUUCGUAUGGGAACUGAAAAUCGACGACAAUAUUUCUAUUUGCUACCAUUGCAUAUCGAAUUGACGUCAAAGUAAAUGUUGUUAAUUAAAAAAAUUAGAUAUUCGCGUGAAUUUUAAUAGGCAAAAUUAAAUUAAUUUUAAUCUUGCGAUAACAACAUUUAAUCGAUCUUUUUCUGCCAUUUUUCACGCAAUGAAUUCAUGGUGGAGAAUACAAAAACCGAUAAUCAACUGCUAAACAAGCGUAUGCAAGCAUAAAGAUGAAAUCGUUUAAAGUACACGUUACAAUGGAGCACGUAAUUGAGAAACCUUCAAACUAUAGUUACCUUCUAAAUUUGCCACUGAAAUUCUAACCGGCAAUUAUUUCUAACAAAGGUUUCUGUAACGUCCAUGACUAAAACAAUUACACUGGAAUGUAGAUUACGAAUCUGUGAAUGUUGACUUUCACUUCUACUUUUUAUGCAGCUGCACAGGAACGAAAAAUGGGAAAAAAGACAAUAUUUUCUUUAUAAAACAAAACGUUAGAUUCGGCUAAAAUCAAAUUCUUAUUUCUCUGUUAUGUUAGAGAAACUCUAUGUUAACUUCUCUUAUUUGUAUUAACACGUUAAGAGUCUUUUAUCCCACUAAAAAUUUCUUUUAGAUUCAAACUAAAACGAUGAGAUCGAGAUACGAGAAAUCGUAGAACCGUAGAAAAAUUAAUAACAAAGACGAAGUAUGAAAAUCUUAAAUCUUGUUAUUAAAAUAAUAAUUAUUAUUUUACGUAUUGUAAAAUCAAAUGCAAGAGAGUCUCCGAUAUUUUCCAGUGAGUUUUCCUUUCUAUAUGUGUAAGAAUAAAGAUACAUAUAUUUCUCUAUAUAUAUCUUAAGUAACAUGUUUUGAUUUAGCAAAGAUGUAACAUUGUAAAAGUACAAGUACGAUGCAAUUUUACCAAAUUAUUAAAUGCCAAUUGUGGCAAAAAAUAACUACAUCGGAAUAAACAAAAAAUAAUCUAACAGUGUAGAUAAUGUUUCGUAGUGUUCUAUGAGGUGAAAGAGUAAUGGUUGAUAAAAGCACUGAGCAUAACAAGUUCACUUACGACUAAUCAGAUUAUGCAAUAGAUCAAUGUUUGUACAUAACCAAUUAUCUUCCUUGCGAUUUCAAGAACAAGUACGCAUACAGUAGAAAAUUUAUGUUGUUUCACGAAGCGUAUAUGAGAAGCGAUAGAAGAGAAAUAAAAGUUAUUUGUAUAAAAAAAGGAGUCUUAAAUAGGAUGCAGGAAUACAAUCUCGUUUCUUUAUGAAUUUAAAGAUAAAAAUUGAAAUAUAAUAAUAAUUCAGAUAUAUUUCAAACUUUUUAAUUGAAUCGUUUACUUUACGUUAACUAAUUAAUUACGAAGCUAAUACAAUAAAGUAAUAAAACAUGUAAGUACAGAUAUUGAAUUUCUAUUUGAGAUAGUUGUAAUUUUCAGAGUUAAACAAGCGUUUAUACAGCGAGAAGGAUAAUGAAAUAAUUUCUUAGACUUCUUGUCAAAUAUCUGUCUGUAUUUUUAAAAACAACGAAACAAUGAAAUAUUCUCUUCUUUCUCCUACAUCGUUUCGCUUUAGUAACAGAAUUAGAAAAAAAAAAAAAAGAAAAACAAAA
Molecule: long non-coding RNA, 5376 nt
Organism: Bombus huntii
Lineage: Eukaryota; Metazoa; Arthropoda; Insecta; Hymenoptera; Apidae
Exons: 2
Source: RefSeq, a predicted model, not a curated record